GGUAAAAUGGUCGAGUGUUUAGGCAGUGAAGUGUAGUUUCAUUAAUAGGGGUUUAAUUCCUCUUUUUACCA
RNAcentral lists this transfer RNA (71 nucleotides) under Microlophus koepckeorum. RNAcentral's name for it is "tRNA-Tyr". It matches the Rfam family "tRNA". From Rfam's summary of the family: Transfer RNA (tRNA) molecules are approximately 80 nucleotides in length. Their secondary structure includes four short double-helical elements and three loops (D, anti-codon, and T loops). Lineage: Eukaryota; Metazoa; Chordata; Lepidosauria; Squamata; Tropiduridae. The record is from RNAcentral.